AAAGGGGUCAUAACUGGCCACCAAUGGCAAUGGCAUUGGCCAUUGUUUUGAUUUCAACUAGUGUGGUUUCUGCUGCUGCAGAUAGUUAUAUUUACUCUUCUCCUCCACCACCUUACGAGUAUAAGUCGCCACCGCCACCAUCACCUUCACCACCACCUCCUUAUGUUUACAAAUCGCCACCUCCUCCAUCCCCAUCACCUCCACCACCUUAUGAGCACAAGGCUCCUGCUUAUGAGUACAAGUCACCACCACCACCAACUCCUUCACCACCACCUCCUUAUGUGUACAAGUCACCACCACCGCCAUCUCCUUCACCACCACCUCCUUAUGUGUACAAGUCACCACCACCACCCUCACCUUCCCCACCACCACCAUACUACUACAAGAGUCCUCCACCACCUUCUCCUUCACCUCCACCUCCUUACUACUACAAAUCUCCUCCACCACCCUCACCUUCCCCACCACCACCAUACUAUUACAAGUCUCCUCCACCACCAUCUCCCUCACCUCCACCACCAUAUUACUACAAGUCUCCCCCACCACCCUCACCCUCCCCUCCACCCCCAUAUAUACACAAGGAUCCACCAUACUAUUACAAGUCCCCACCACCACCUUCACCAUCUCCUCCACCACCAUACUACUACAAAUCUCCCCCACCCCCUUCACCGUCUCCUCCACCACCAUACUACUACAAAUCUCCUCCUCCUCCAUCUCCUAUUCCCAAAACACCUUACUACUACAAAUCUCCCCCACCCCCUUCACCAUCUCCUCCACCACCAUACUACUACAAAUCUCCCCCACCCCCUUCACCGUCUCCUCCACCACCAUACUACUAUAAAUCUCCCCCACCACCGUCACCCUCUCCACCACCACCUUACUAUUACAAGUCUCCUCCCCCACCUUCACCAUCUCCUCCACCACCAUACUACUACAAAUCUCCUCCUCCUCCAUCUCCUAUUCCCCAUACACCUUACUAUUACAAAUCUCCCCCACCACCUUCACCAUCUCCUCCACCACCAUACUACUACAAAUCUCCUCCUCCUCCAUCUCCUAUUCCCCGUACACCUUACUAUUACAAAUCUCCCCCACCACCUUCACCAUCUCCUCCACCACCAUACUACUACAAAUCCCCUCCUCAUCCAUCUCCCAUUCCCCAUACACCUUACUAUUACACAUCUCCCCCACCACCUUCACCGUCUCCUCCACCACCAUAUUACUACAAAUCUCCUCCCCCUCCGUCUCCUAUUCCCCACACACCUUACUACUACAAGUCCCCACCACCACCAAAGGUCCUUCCACCACCAUACUAUUACAAUUCUCCUCCUCCACCUGUUGUGUAUCCUCACCCAUAUCCCUACCACCACUCACUUAUUGUGAGGGUAGUCGGUAAAGUCUACAGCUUCAGAUGUUAUGAUUGGAAUUAUCCUGCAAAGUCUCAUAACAAGAAACAUCUCAAAGGUACAUUACAUUUCUUAGGACCGGACCUCUUUAGAGUAAUGUGUUUAGAGAUAAUGCACAAUUUUUUAUUUUUUUAUCUCGUAAAGGUUUAUUUAUUAUAAUCACAAUUUCACUUUUGUCAAAAAGAAAAACAAUUUUACUAUAUAUAGUUUUAAUCAUUAACAUUUUGAUGUAAAAAGAAUACAAUUCUCUAUUACCUUUUUACUAUGAUAUAUAUACAAAGAUUAUUCAAAUCUAUAUAUCCAACCUAAUUUCCAUCCAAAAAAAUAGAAAACAUAGGGUGCUUUGAACGCCUGCAGCAUCACAUGAAUAAAUAAAAACAAUCAAUAAUCAACCUUGUUCUAAUUUAUUUUAGACAGCGAUUGUUAAGCAUACUGCUCUUUUAAUUACAUUUUUUUUAAAGAUGCUCUUUUAAUUAUAUUGUCCUAAUAUAAUAUGUGUCUUUAUAUAUUACUUGUCGUAAACUAAUUUUAUUAUGGGUGCAGGAGCUGUUGUUGAGGUGACAUGCAAAGCCGGGAGCAAAAUUGUCAAGGCUUAUGGAAAAACUAAGAACAAUGGAAAGUAUGCCAUCACAGUUAAGGACUUUGACUAUGUCAAAUAUGGUUCGACAGUGUGCAAGGCUGCCCUAUAUGCUCCACCUAAGGGUUCACCCUUCAACAUACCUACAAAGCUAAAUCAAGGAACAAAGUUGUACUUGAAAUCCAAAGACAAGUACGAGGUUGUGCUCAAGGCUAAGCCAUUUGCUUAUGCUUCAAAGAAACAUUUCAAAGAAUGUGAGAAGCCUAAGCCUUCACCAACUCCUUACUACUACAAAUCACCUCCACCUCCCUCACCAGUUUACAAAUACAACUCACCACCUCCACCGGUCCAUUAUUAUUCACCUCCAUACACCUACAAGUCACCUCCUCCCCCUGUGAAAGCGGCACCAACUCCUUACUACUACAAAUCACCUCCACCACCCGCACCGGUUUACAAGUACAACUCACCCCCUCCACCGGUCCAUUAUUAUUCACCACCAUAUACCUAUAAGUCACCUCCUCCCCCUGUGAAAGCGGCACCAACUCCUUACUACUACAAAUCACCUCCACCUCCCGCACCGGUUUACAAGUACAACUCCCCACCUCCACCGGUCCAUUAUUAUUCACCUCCAUAUACCUACAAGUCACCUCCUCCCCCUGUGAAAGUGGCACCAACUCCUUACUACUACAAAUCACCUCCACCACCCGCACCGGUUUACAAGUACAACUCACCACCUCCACCGGUCCAUUAUUAUUCUCCACCAUACUACUACAAGUCACCACCCCCACCAUCUCCAUCACCUCCUCCACCAUACUAUUUCAAAUACUAUUACAAGUCCCCACCUCCACCAUCACCAUCCCCUCCUCCACCUUAUUAUUACAAAUCUCCUCCUCCACCAAAACAAAUUUCACACCCUCCAUACUACUAUAAGUCACCACCCCCACCAUCACCAUCACCUCCUCCACCAUACUAUUAUAAGUCUCCACCUCCACCAUCACCAUCUCCCCCACCACCUUAUUAUUAUAAGUCACCACCCCCACCAUCCCCGUCCCCUCCUCCACCAUACUACUACAAGUCUCCACCUCCACCUAAAGAAAUAUCACAUCCUCCAUAUAACUAUAAGUCACCACCCCCACCAUCACCAUCCCCUCCCCCUCCAUACUAUUACAAAUCUCCUCCACCACCAUCACCAUCACCACCACCUCCCUACUAUUACAAAUCACCUCCACCACCAUCACCAUCACCUCCCCCUCCAUACUAUUACAAAUCUCCUCCACCACCAUCACCAUCACCACCACCUCCUUACUAUUACAAAUCACCUCCACCACCAUCCCCAUCACCACCACCUCCAUACUACUACAAAAGUCCCCCUCCACCAUCUCCAUCUCCUCCAUCCCCAUAUUACUACAAAUCUCCACCACCACCAUCACCAUCCCCACCCCCUCCCUACUAUUACAAAUCACCUCCACCUCCCUCACCAUCACCGCCACCUCCUUACUAUUACAAAUCACCUCCACCUCCCUCACCAUCACCGCCACCUCCUUACUAUUACAAAUCUCCCCCACCUCCAUCUCCAUCUCCACCACCUCCUUACCACUAUCAAAGUCCUCCUCCACCAUCUCCCAUUUCUCAUCCUCCCUACUACUACAAAUCCCCUCCACCACCAUCGCCGUCUCCUCCACCUCCUUACCACUAUGUGAGUCCUCCCCCACCAGUAAAGUCACCUCCACCACCAACUUAUAUCUAUGCUUCACCACCACCACCUCACUACAACUAAGCUCAAAGAGCAGAAGCUCCGUUCAUUAUAAAUCAUGUAAGUUUAUCAUCUUCAAUUUUCUGAAUGUGUGCGUGUGUAUUUGUUUUUUUGUUACAAGAUACUAACAAAAUUCUUUUCUUAUUUAUGUUCAGGUUUUAGUUUUCAUCUAGGAAUAAAGGCAAGCUCCAUUUGGAGUAAAGUGAAACUUCUAGCUUCGUGUCCGAAUUCGUUAAAUAAAUGUCGGGAUGUAUCGUCUUUGAGCUAUAAUAUUUCUGAUCCAGACAAUAUCUAUUUUGUUUCUUUGGUGGCAAUCUUGCACUUCCUGGUCUUAGUCUAUUCAAGUGACAGACAAAUCAAAAGGGAGAAGCGAGAUUAAUUUAUUUGUGAUCUCUUUGAUUUAUUUGUGCAUAUAUCAAUAUGAACGUGUAUGAUAUUUUUCUAUUUAUUGAAGAUUUUUUUACUGUAACCUGUUAUUGUGUUUGUCAAAAGGUGUUAAUAAAGAAUCACAUUCAAUUUCUGUUAAAUUAUCAGUAUUUGUUUCUUUCUAACAACUACCAUUCAUGCAAAUGUGGCUAUUAAAAAAAGCUCCAAUGACACAUAAAAAGCUUCCAAACAAUAUAUAAACAAAGAUGCAUUGUUUUCUGUUAAGAAGGGGACAGGGUUACGGUUACUUGUGUACCAAGUUAGUUAUCCAUGCUUUCUUGUUCAUAGGAUUUAUAUGGUGUAGUUGCACUUAGUUGCUAAAUGUAUGCAAGCUUUUCCUUUCUAUAAAUAAGCACACCUACUAUCAUUCUUCUCCACAUUCCUUUCUACUCUUCUAUCAUGAAUUGUUCAUCCACAUAAGAUGGUCACAGAGCACACCUAAUACUCUGCUACUGGUGUAUCAGUUCCUUUCCACCAGAAACUUAUGAUCUCUAAUUGAAAGAGAUCCUAAAGUUUUAAGAUUUCUACAAAAUACAUUAUUCUCAUUUUUGUACAAGUAUGAUACAAUUAUUCCCAAGUAUUAUUUAUUCUAAGGAAUAGAAUUUAGUUGUGGUUUCUCUAUUUAACCAACAUUUAUUUUUAAAUAACUAAAUUUAAAAAAAAAAUCCUGAAAUUAUUAAGUACAUACCUAACACAUUGUAAAAUUUUGUUCCCAAAGAAAAUAUUUUUGGCAAUAGAAUUUUCAGGAACUUCAUUCCUAGGAAUAUAAUUCUAUACUAAGAGAAGAGCUUAAGCAUUGAUACAUAACAAGACCAAUCCAUAUCCUAAUCACAAUCCUACUUUCACUAAAUACUUUCACUUAAGUGUGGUCUUGGAAAGGACAAAUGAAGAAAGACAUUCCAGAGGUAUGGUAAGGGACAAUAUCUGCAGUUAUGCACAUAUUGCAAGAUUGUGAGGAACUACCGGACUGAUUUGAUUCACCAAAAAAUUUGGAAUAAAUAUUUCAGCCCAGAACUCAGACAAUGACUGGAUUGGAACCUUUCAGCUUCUAAUAUCGGUACUGUCCAAGGAAAUAGUCAUUCUCUUUUUGGAGUAGCUGUGAAGGAUUUAUGGAAAGAUAGAACUAAGCUGGUCUUUUCUAGAAACACCGCGAUUGGAACUACUCUAUUUUGGCUUGUAGCCAAUCCGGCUAAGUUUAUUAACAAUGUAGUUUGUACUCAAGCUCACAGUCACGAUGUUGUCAGCAACAGUGGGCAUAUUGUUUAGGUAGCCUGGAAUUUUCCUCCCCAACACUUCUUCAAAGUGAAUAUGAUGGAUCUCUACGGGAUUAUGUUAGUUUCCAGGAUCGAACUCAGAACCUCCUGAUUAUAACUCCUUCAAUGUAUGUCCCUUACCCACGUGGGGCCUCGGCUGUAAUUGUUAACAUGGUAAAAUUUGGCUCUUCCAAUAAUGGUUUUAUCCAAACUCGAGGUUGUUUAUCGUCUCCAACAAUCAGAUUGGAGAAUACUAGUGGUUCAUGCAUUUGAACAAACCAACUGUUGUGCAGAUUUUCUAGUUGAUUUUGUUUUUCCUUUUUUGAGUAUUUUAUUAGCCAAUGAUAUAAGAGGUUGUAGCCUACCUCUUUUGAUUUCUUAAGACAAUCACUUUUGCAUUAGAAAAAAACGACCCUACAUAAAAUUAAUGAUUGAAUUAAGAUAUAACUUCAGUUUGAAAUAUUGUAAAAUUCUAUACCACCAAAAACUGAGAAUUUUAGAACCAUACAGGUUGGUGGAGUGGUCAUCCAGAUAACUUUAACAUAAUUAACAGUCCAAAAAGUAAAUAGCUUUAUCCUUUAUUUUCAAUCUGAUGUGAUUUACUCUUAUCUGUUAAACAUUAUAAUUAAGAAUCCAAAGGGAACACUCACCUAAUCUCUCUCUUUUUUCUAGCUUUUUCACUAAACCACUGUGUCUGUGGUUACCACAUUUCCUUAUGGAAUCAAUAUCCAAUUUAUGUUAAAAACCAUUUCUACAUUUUGUGUUAAAAAUGAUCUAAACAAAGAUGAUUUAUUUCUCUUAAAUUCAACAUAGAUCAUAUUUACAUGGUUCAAACUUUCUAUUACACGGCAUUGACUUAGUUGCUUCACAUGGGGACACAACUAAUGCAUAUAUUAUUUUAUAUGCUUAUAGUAAUUUUAACAAGUGGCAAUGGGGCAUAUGUUUUGUCAAAAAAACACAAAAAACAGGAGGCAUGUGCAACUGAAGUCACUGCCAGCUUGGCACUAAGAUAUAGUAAAAUAAUUGACAUUUGAAGAAAACAAAGACGUUGCUACAUUUCUAUUCAAACAAGCGACAUCAAUAUCAGACAAUGGUGCUACAUUUAAUAAUACUACAGCUAUCCCCAUAAGCACCUCUUAGAAAGAAAAAAAAAUAUCCAUUAAAUUAAUGUUGGAAGAGUUAGCAACAUGUCCUCUCCCAAAAAAACUCAUGUUUGAUUCCUAGAGUCGUCCAUUUCGAAAGAAGCUCAACCCUGAUAAUAAAAACCUAGAUGUUAUGCUGCAGACUUAAAGAUCAAUUUCAUAAUGGAUCCAAAGGGCCUAAGCUGUGUGGGAUACUUAAGGGGGUAUAUUGAGGCUAAGGGUCAAAGAUCUUAAUUAUGGUCGGUUAAAAAAAGAAGAAAAAAAAAUUAUCUCUAAAUAUAAAGUCAACAAUAUUUCAAAUUGCAAGAUACAUUUAUUUAUUUUUUAAAUAUGUAUAUACCUCUUAUUAAUACUUACUAAUUUGUUUUGAGUGAUAAAAAGUUACGAGUUAGACAGAUCAGCACAUAAAAAAAGUAUUUGAAAAACAUCUACCAACAAAAUAAACACAUUAAAAACAAUACUACUUUUUUACAAUACUGUAUGUGAAAAUGACAAAAUCUUGAAAAAGAUGGAGGUAACAUGUACUCUUUUUUUUUUAGAGGGGAGCAUGUACUUUUCCACUAACAAUGUUGAUAAGAAACAUAUAAAAUACUAUUAGAGAAAGAAAAAAAAUAAUAAAUAAAGAAAUAUAUAAAAUACUGAGGAAUGACUCACUCAUGUCAAAUUUUAGCAAGGGAGAAGUGAUAUCACAUCAUUUUAGAAGAGGAAUGAGAAUAGAUAGAUCUAAUUUUUCUAGUAAGUUUGAAUAGUAGAAUCAUACUUCUUUGUCUUUUGUGAAAAUUUCAUAUUAUGGGAUCUAUUACUAGAAUACAGGUGAUUUUAUUCUGGAAGAUUGACUUUUUAUUAAAAUAAAAUAAAAGUACAUUUUUUAUUUCCAAAUGCUUAGUUGUUCAUUUAUAAAUAUUACAUUAUCCAACAGCACCAAACCCUAUUUCAUAACGGUACUCUGCACGUUUCAUUCAUUUACUGGUGCCUUAGUUUUUUGUUACAAACAGACAUUGAUCAGAGGAACAAAUGUAGAGACAAAUUGAAGAUAAUAUAUCACAUAAUAUUGUAGACACACCUUCACAUACAAAUGGGGUAAAGUCCCUCAUAGUAGUAUUAGAAAUAACACUUAGAGUAAAAUUUUGCUAAAUUUAACAUGAAAAUAAGUGUAAUGUAUUUUAUAGGCAGCUAUACAUAAUUAUUAAUUAGAACAAUUUUUUACACUGUCAAACAAAAAUUGAACAAUUUUUUACUAGCUUUAUGCUUUAUGAUGUUUUGAUUCCAUGUGCACAUUUCAAUUUUAGAACUAUUCCUUUCUAUGUUACUGAAAUAAUUCUAUCAUUAGGCAUUGACAUUUCCAUUAUGCGUGCACGUUAAAGUGUUUUCCCAAACAGAGAAAUAUUAAGAAAGGUUAAACUUUUGACUUAAAGACACAACUAAAAUAAGAUCCAAGGAAAACCCCAUUGAUUAUUUCUUGCACAAAAUUAAAAACCCCAUUGAUUAUUUCUUGCACAAAAUUAAAAUGCUAAUAAUUUUUCCUGGUCUAUAUUUUUCUCCUUCCGGGAAAUGGCAACAUCACAUGUUCAUCUCAUAAUUGAGAAAACACAUGUCUGGGAAAAUAUCUUAAAGAAAAGGCAGUAAAGUAAUAAAAAGUGCACCAAAUAGAGAUUAACUAGUACUCUUUGCAUGUCAACUAAGUGGUAUAAUUAUGUAUAUCACAUUCUUAAUAUUGAUUAUCUUGAUUGCACGAUAAGCCCCUCAAAUUGCUCAAUCGAUGAUUGCUUGAUAAGCCCAUCAAAUUGCCCAAUCGAUCGAAUCGUAACUUUCGAUAGACAUUUUUUUUAAGAAAACCCAAUUGGAUCAUAACUCCCCAUAGUCAUUUAUUUGAAAUUGUGAGCAAUUUGAUAACUUAUUGAGCAAUCACCAUUGAUUUUAGUCUCAAUUUAUCCUAAUGUUGUAACCCUGGAAUAAUGGAACAGUGAGUAAAUUUGGUUUCUCCGUCUCAAAAUAAGUGUCACAAUUUAACCAUGUGCACUACUCAUCAAAUCUACUUUGACAACAUUUUUUUUACUAAUAUAUAAAGACAAUGUUAGUACAUUACAUGUUCGAUUUGUCUUAGUUAAUGUUUUUAAAAUAUCGACUUUAUUAUAAUUUUUCUUAAUAGACAAUCAAAAAUAUCAAUUGUCAAAAUUGUGUAUUGAUAUGUAUGAAAAUCAAACUAUAACACUUACUUUGAGACGAAGAGAAUAACUAUUAAAAACUAAUGUUCAAAUAGAAAGAAAAGAAAACAAAGAUUCCAUACAAAGCUUGCAAAAUAGCUACAAUCAUAACCUAGAACAAAAAUCAUGACCACACACUAUAUCCAUUUUCCUUUUCCUAAAAAGCAAUUGAAGAUAAAAAAAAAAAAAAUAAUAAAUAAAAAAAAAAAAAAAAAAAAAAAAAANACCACCAUACUACUACAAAUCCCCACCUCCACCAUCGCCUUCUCCUCCACCACCAUACUACUACAAAUCCCCACCUCCACCAUCGCCUUCUCCUCCACCACCAUACUACUACAAAUCCCCACCUCCACCAUCGCCUUCUCCUCCACCACCAUACUACUACAAAUCCCCACCUCCACCAUCGCCUUCUCCUCCACCACCAUACUACUACAAAUCCCCACCUCCACCAUCGCCUUCUCCUCCACCACCAUACUACUACAAAUCCCCACCUCCACCAUCGCCUUCUCCUCCACCACCAUACUACUACAAAUCCCCACCUCCACCAUCGCCUUCUCCUCCACCACCAUACUACUACAAAUCCCCACCUCCACCAUCGCCUUCUCCUCCACCACCAUACUACUACAAAUCCCCACCUCCACCAUCGCCUUCUCCUCCACCACCAUACUACUACAAAUCCCCACCUCCACCAUCGCCUUCUCCUCCACCACCAUACUACUACAAAUCCCCACCUCCACCAUCGCCUUCUCCUCCACCACCAUACUACUACAAAUCCCCACCUCCACCAUCGCCUUCUCCUCCACCACCAUACUACUACAAAUCCCCACCUCCACCAUCGCCUUCUCCUCCACCACCAUACUACUACAAAUCCCCACCUCCACCAUCGCCUUCUCCUCCACCACCAUACUACUACAAAUCCCCACCUCCACCAUCGCCUUCUCCUCCACCACCAUACUACUACAAAUCCCCACCUCCACCAUCGCCUUCUCCUCCACCACCAUACUACUACAAAUCCCCACCUCCACCAUCGCCUUCUCCUCCACCACCAUACUACUACAAAUCCCCACCUCCACCAUCGCCUUCUCCUCCACCACCAUACUACUACAAAUCCCCACCUCCACCAUCGCCUUCUCCUCCACCACCAUACUACUACAAAUCCCCACCUCCACCAUCGCCUUCUCCUCCACCACCAUACUACUACAAAUCCCCACCUCCACCAUCGCCUUCUCCUCCACCACCAUACUACUACAAAUCCCCACCUCCACCAUCGCCUUCUCCUCCACCACCAUACUACUACAAAUCCCCACCUCCACCAUCGCCUUCUCCUCCACCACCAUACUACUACAAAUCCCCACCUCCACCAUCGCCUUCUCCUCCACCACCAUACUACUACAAAUCCCCACCUCCACCAUCGCCUUCUCCUCCACCACCAUACUACUACAAAUCCCCACCUCCACCAUCGCCUUCUCCUCCACCACCAUACUACUACAAAUCCCCACCUCCACCAUCGCCUUCUCCUCCACCACCAUACUACUACAAAUCCCCACCUCCACCAUCGCCUUCUCCUCCACCACCAUACUACUACAAAUCCCCACCUCCACCAUCGCCUUCUCCUCCCCCACCUUACUAUUACAAAUCCCCACCGCCACCUUCACCAUCUCCCCCACCACCCUACUACUAUAAAUCACCCCCACCACCUUCACCAUCUCCUCCACCACCAUACUACUACAAAUCACCCCCACCGCCAUAUGAACACAAGACUAAACCAUACUAUUACAAGUCUCCUCCACCACCAUAUGAACACAAGACUAAACCAUACUAUUACAAGUCCCCACCACCACCUUCACCAUCUCCUCCACCACCAUACUAUUACAAGUCCCCACCACCACCUUCACCGUCUCCACCCCCACCAUACUACUACAAAUCACCUCCUCCUCCAUCACCUAUUCCCCAUACACCUUACUACUACAAGUCCCCACCACCACCUAAGGUUCUUCCACCACCAUACUAUUACAACUCUCCUCCUCCACCUGUUGUGUAUCAUCACCCUCAUCCCUACCACCAUGCAUUGAUCGUGAAGGUAGUGGGUAACGUCUACAGCUUCAGAUGUUAUGACUGGGAGUAUCCUGAAAAGUCUCAUAACAAGAAACACCUCAAAGGUACAUCACAUUACAUUUCUCAAUUCUUUCAUUUUUAUAGAUUUUAUGUACAUCACUAUUGGCUCGUAGUUUCUCAAUACCAUUACAACUAAACUGCAAGUUUCAGUAAUGAGAUUCAUAUAGACAUGUUUUUAUUAACAUCUUUGUUUCUUAGAAAUUAUACAAACACUUAAUUUAGGUUUCUCCAUGUCCAAUAAAGUAAACAAUUGAUAUAUCAAAUUAACAUAUAUGAUAUAUCAUUUACCUCAUUAAAAUUUAAUAAUCCUGCCUAAUAUAAAGAUUCGGUUUGAAAAUGAUAGUUUAGUGAGCUUCUUUAUAAUAACACUCUCCAAUAUAUUAUGUUUUAAAAACAAUUAUAUUUCUAUUUGUCUAAAUUCAAAUUUGUUAUGGGACAGGUGCUGUUGUUGAAGUGACAUGCAAAGCCGGGAGCAAAAUCAUCAAGGCUUACGGUAAAACUAAGAUCAAUGGAAAGUAUGCCAUCACAGUUAAGGACUUUGACUAUGUCAAAUAUGGUUCAACAGUGUGCAAGGCUGCCCUUUAUGCUCCACCUAAGGGUUCACCCUUCAACAUACCUACAAAGCUAAACCAAGGAACAAACUUGUACUUGAAAUCCAAAGACAAGUACGAGGUUGUGCUCAAGGCUAAGCCAUUUGCUUAUGCUUCAAAGAAACAUUUCAAAGAAUGUGAGAAGUCCAAGCCUUCACCAACUCCUUACUACUACAAAUCACCUCCACCUCCCUCACCAGUUUACAAGUAUAACUCACCACCUCCACCCGUCCAUUAUUACUCACCUCCAUAUUACUACAAGUCACCUCCUCCCCCCGUGAAAGCGGCACCAACUCCUUACUACUACAAAUCACCUCCACCUCCCGCACCAGUUUACAAGUACAACUCCCCACCUCCGCCAGUCCAUUACUAUUCACCUCCAUACACCUAUAAGUCACCUCCUCCUCCUGUGAAAGCAGCACCAACUCCUUACUACUACAAAUCACCUCCACCUCCCGCACCGGUUUACAAGUACAACUCACCACCUCCACCGGUCCAUUAUUAUUCUCCACCAUACUACUACAAGUCACCACCCCCACCAUCUCCAUCACCUCCUCCACCAUACUAUUUCAAAUACUAUUACAAGUCCCCACCUCCACCAUCACCAUCCCCUCCUCCACCUUAUUAUUACAAAUCUCCUCCUCCACCAAAACAAAUUUCACACCCUCCAUACUACUAUAAGUCACCACCCCCACCAUCACCAUCACCUCCUCCACCAUACUAUUAUAAGUCUCCACCUCCACCAUCACCAUCUCCCCCACCACCUUAUUAUUAUAAGUCACCACCCCCACCAUCCCCGUCCCCUCCUCCACCAUACUACUACAAGUCUCCACCUCCACCUAAAGAAAUAUCACAUCCUCCAUAUAACUAUAAGUCACCACCCCCACCAUCACCAUCCCCUCCCCCUCCAUACUAUUACAAAUCUCCUCCACCACCAUCACCAUCACCACCACCUCCCUACUAUUACAAAUCACCUCCACCACCAUCACCAUCACCUCCCCCUCCAUACUAUUACAAAUCUCCUCCACCACCAUCACCAUCACCACCACCUCCUUACUAUUACAAAUCACCUCCACCACCAUCCCCAUCACCACCACCUCCAUACUACUACAAAAGUCCCCCUCCACCAUCUCCAUCUCCUCCAUCCCCAUAUUACUACAAAUCUCCACCACCACCAUCACCAUCCCCACCCCCUCCCUACUAUUACAAAUCACCUCCACCUCCCUCACCAUCACCGCCACCUCCUUACUAUUACAAAUCUCCCCCACCUCCAUCUCCAUCUCCACCACCUCCUUAUCACUAUCAAAGUCCUCCUCCCCCAUCUCCCAUUUCUCAUCCUCCCAACUACUACAAAUCCCCUCCACCACCAUCGCCAUCUCCUCCACCUCCAUACCAUUACGUGAGUCCUCCCCCACCAGUAAAGUCACCUCCACCACCAGCUUACAUCUAUGCUUCUCCACCACCACCAAUCUACAACUAGCCUCACAACACCAAAUCACCAUUGGUGAUAAAUUAUGUAAGUUUACCAUUAUUGCAAUCAUAACACUUGCAUCUUUUCCCACCCAUACACACACAUAUCACAUGUUUAAAUUUUAUGUACUAAUCAACAAAAACUCUUAUUUGUUUUCAGGUUCUAGUUUUCAUCAAGGAAUAAAGUCGUCCAUUUGGAGCAAAGUGAAACAACUAGCUCUCUGUCCAAAUUAUUUGAUGGCCAUCUUGCACUUCCUAAUCUUAUUGUGUUCAAGUGACUGGCUAAUCAAAAUGUGGAAGCGAGAUUAAUUUAUUUAUUAUCUCUUUGAUUUAUAUGUGCAUAGAUUGAUAUUUCCCUGUAUGAUAACUUUAUUUUUAUUGAGGAUUUUUUGUAUUGUACCCUGUUGUGUUUGUUAAAAUAAGUAUUAUCAAUGAAGAAUUACCUUCAAUUUCUUUCCACCUAAUUAGUUCUUGUUUCUUUUAAACAACUAUCAAGCAUGUCAGCAAGGCAAAGCAUACCACUACCACCAUAUCACCAUAAAAUGCAUCAUUAUUCAUUGCAUAUGAGAUAAAUAUAUGCAAACUAUAUCUAAUUAUUAAGAGGGGGAAAAAACUAAUGUACAGAAAAUGUACCUCAAGGCUUCAGGAUAGGUGUUAGAAACCCAAGCUUUUAAUAGCUCUCUCCAAGAAUCCUCGUUUCUACAACUUAAGUUCCUAUAUUAAUCAAUUAUAAUAUAUGAGAAACUUAUGUUGUCGACCAACAAUACAGGUGACUCAAAAAAAUAUUAUAUUUUAAAAGUCAAACCUUGAGCUAUACACAUGUAAGCAUCAUCAAUAUAAGUUUCACCAUUGUUCAUGUGUAUUAUUCCAUAAAUUUUGGCUCAGUUGAGGUUACUACACUGGUUUUCUUCCUAUUGUAUCAUAUAUUUAAAUACUAUGGUGCGUUUGGAUAAACAGCUUAUGUCACAAGCACUUAUCAUGAUAAGCGCUUUUGUAUAAACUUGCAUGAGUUAUUUUCAUAUCAAAAGAUAAACAAGAACAUUAAAUUGUUUUUGUAUAUUACUUAAGUUGUUUUCAUAAGCUAUGUUGAAGAACUAAUGAAAAUUAGCUGAAAAAAGCUUAUGCUGUUUUCAUGAAUUCUCCCUAACAGUCUCACAAUAUUUAUGUCAGUAUAUAAUCAAAUAAGUCAAUCCAAACAGGCCCCACGUCUUCUAUAUUAGACCAUAUGACAAUUUCUUUUCGGUUUAUUCUCAUUAAAAGUUAAAAAUGGUGUAUUUGAAUCCUAUAAUUCUUUGUCAUACAAGUGCAUUCAAAUACAAUUUGAAGCCAUGGUGAAAGUGUUUAAUUUGCAGAGCUCACCAACAUAAUCUAACGUAUAUUUGGAUUGACUUAUUUGAACUUAUCUACUAGCACAAAUACUUGUGAGAUUGUUUACGAAAGUUUAUGGAAAAAACUUACAACACACACAUAAGUUGUUUUCAGCUUAUUUCCAUAAACUCUUCAAAAUAGCUUAUGAAACAACUUAUAUGAUAAGAGCUUAUUCUAUAAGCGCUUAAUUAAGUUUUAAUCCAUUCUUCUUCUACCUUCAUCUUCAGUUAACAAAACGAAUACAAUUUCUGAAAAUUCAAAGUUCAAACACCAAAAAAUACCUAAAAUGAAAAAUUGUUGAAUGAAAGCGCAAAUAGAACCUGGCAAUGCGUUCGAGAAGCACGUGGAGGAGGUGGCGUGGCAGAAGAAUGUGUGGAUUUCAUCGGAGAAUUUCAGUUCUGCUCGCGCCAUUUAAGAAAUUUUGUAAACUUAAAGUUUAGUUUAAGUUUACCCCUCUUUUUUUUUCAUUUUAAAGGAGUUUACCCUACAAAUUUUUGUAUGUUUUUGCCACGUUUACAAAUGAUUUAAUAUGUUUUUAUCCUAUAUAUAUUUAGGGAUGUAAAUGGAUAUUAUGAUGCGGAUAGUGUAAUAUUUGUGUCUGUUCCAUUGGAUAAAUAUGAAAUCUGUACCAUAUUCAUAUCGUACGGAUAUCUGUUUAGCGGGUAAUCCACAGAUUUUGAGAUAUUUGAGUGUUUAUAGAUAUAUUCAUUGAUAACAUUUAUAAAAAUAAAAUAAAAAAUUUGUUUAAUUCUUUUUAGAGACAAAGGUUCUUCAUAUGCAUUUUCUUUUCUUUUUAACAAAACAUAAUAUUCAUACAUUAUAAUAACAACAAAGAUCAUUGACUCAACAAAAACAUAAAUAAAGUUGCUUACAUUUAAUAAAAAUAAAGUUAUUUGAUUUAACAAAAACAAAGCUCUUGCAUCAACAAUCCCAACCACUUUCACUUCCUUUUAAAAGAGUGUAAUAACAAAUAACACUCACAAUACAUAAGGUUUUUUUUUAGGAAGUUGAAUGAUAUUAAGGUUAUUUAUGUAAUUUACUCGGUUUAAUAGUCGGUAUGGAUAUCCACGGGUGUGGAUACCGUUAAAUCCGCAUCCAUAUCCAUUAAUUAGCAGGUAGUUAAAAAAUUCAUUUAUUUUAUCCAUUGAUAUCCAUUAAGGUAUCCGCUCCGUGCCCGUGACGGAUUAUAUCCGCGGAUAUUCACGGGUGCGAAUUUUUUUGUCAUCCCUAUAUAUAUAUAUUAGUCUUAAACUUGACUAUUUUUUAUUAUCAUUUGGUGCUAUAAUUAAAAAAAAAAAAAAAAUAUUGUUCGUCUGAGCCAUUUAGCUACAGGCUAUUACUUUUCUCAUUCUACAUGUUUCUCGCUUGUCCUAUUUUUUUUUUAAUACUUUUUGCUCGAAUUCUAAAAUCUAAACUCCUAUAGGGAUUUUUGGAUUCUAUAAUCCAAAACACGUUGAAACCCAAAAAUAAAAUAAAAAACUAUGUAAUUGAAAUCAAAGAUCUCUACUGCUAAUGCACGUUUUCCACAAAAACUACAAAGUAAUUUCAAAGUAAUUUCACAAAAACUAUCGUAUGAAUAGACAGCAAUGAGCAUGAUAUCAUAAAUAACUCAAAACUUUAUAAAAAUAAAAAUAAAAAAAUGAAUAAGAAGAUGUGAAGAAUGAAUGUAAACGUUGGAGGAUACAAAGCUAUUUAUAGACAUAAAAUGUUCCUAGACUCUAAAGUGGGUCAAAGAAAACAUGAAUAACAUUUACAACUUAAUUAACACAUCACAGAUCAUUCAAACCUUUGGUGUAACAUCAUCGUAUGUAGUCUGGCACAGUUUGGAUUAUACAAUCUGAACAUUUCAUAAGCAGUUUGGAUUAUAUAAUUUGAACUAUCCCAGACUGUGUUUCAGCUUGAUGUUUGGAGGGUUUUGUAUGGUGGAUAACACAAAAAAAUGACAUAAUUCAACAACGUAAAAAAUAUAAUAAGAUAAGUGAUGAUGAAAGGGAAGCCGCACCAAGAGGUGUUUUUGAAUUCGAUCCAGUUGUCCUAUCAACUGACAUAUAUUUCUAUUGGCAUGGCAGCAAGAUCAAGUUUCAAAACGACCUUUUUGUGUUCAUAUCCGCAAAAUAAUGAUGAAAGGCAAGGUAUUCCAAGAAGUGUUUUUUAACUUGAUCUCGCUACCUUGUCAACUAACAUAUUUCUAUAGACAGUGCAGCAAGAUCAAAUUUAUAACAACCUCUAGGUGUUCAUAUCCGCUAAGUAAUUUUUCGUAGUUCUUUAUUGUGAUCUACAAAAAAAAAAAAAAAAAAGAUCUAUUUAUAUAAGUUUAUGUGCGUCGCGAACCAGAUAAAUUUUCGAUGCAUUGUGGACCAAAAAAAAAUUCUAAUUCGGACUAAACAAGAUGAAUUUUCCUUCACCCUAGAAAGUAAAAGUUUUGACAAACACAAGACUGAUUAUACAUUAAAUACAACAAUCAGCCAAACUAAACAUAUUAGAUCACAAAUCUUUCAAACUAACUUCUUCAUUGGAUUCCUCCAAGAGAGCCUUGAUUUAUUUGUAUGUUCUAGGCCGAAUCAAUUUUUUUUAAUAUCUUUGAAAGGGCCCGACCAAGAAAACAUCCAACUCAAUUGGUCAUUUAAUACCGUACUGACCAAAUAUUAAAACAUUAUUCUCUUAUCGCAUUGUUCCUGAGUUUAAUCUAGGUAAACUAGAUGCUUUCAUCUUAGCCAAUCGAUGGACUUUGAUGCUCAACAUUGUCCAUCCUUCUUGUGUCUGUGUUGUUGAGUCGACGGUUGAUUUAGUCCAGCUAAUAUUGGACUUUCCCCCAUUGUAGUAAACUACAGUUAGUUUGGUGUCAGAUCAAUGAUUGAAGUGUUCAUGAUUAUUUGGUGUGGUUUAUAGCAAAUGAAAACAAGCACACCAAUUUAUAGAAGUUUAUGUGCGCCGCGGACUACAAUAACUAUUGGUGCAAUGAAGACCAUAGAAAAAGCAUGUACUUGGCUGAUUUGGAUUAUAUAAUUUACAUUGUCCCUCACCCUACAAAGUACAAAUUUCAACACAAUAUUGAACCAAUUCGGAUUAUAGAAUCCAAUCAUUUAUGAGAUAAUUUCGGAUUAUAUAAUUAAAACUAGUUCACAAUGUGAACCGCAGCUUGGUCAGCAAGACUAACUCAUUAAAAAUGUUUUUUAAGUUGGUGAACGACGCUUGACUGGUCAGCAAGACUUGAAAACAAUUUUCGUACCAUGCAUUAAUGGACCAUUACCCUCUAUGAAAUGUACUUCACAAAUUCUCCUUCCGAAUACCCACUAAUACAUCACAAAUUCUUAUUUCAUCUCACAUUCUCUCGUUCUUUUUACUUCUACAAUGUGCUUCCAUAGUUUGUGUUUCAUACAAAAAUGUUACUCUAAUAUUUUAUGGAUUGUAUGAAUGGUCAAAAGGCAAAAAUUGGCACCAUCUGUUUGGAUGUAAGGUUGAUCAUCAAAGUCUAAUCCACUAAGAGAGGAAACAAACCUUACCCCAACCUCAUUCCCCAUUCAUCUUCUUGCACCGCAUGUUUAAAUGAUACUCCCUCCGGUCCUAUUUAUAAGAGAAAGUUAGGUCAACAAAAGUUGAUGUAUCUGAACUGAAUUUUUAACCGGAUACAUCAACUUUUGUUGACCCAAAUUUCUCUUAUAAAUAGGACCGGAGGGAGUAUUUGUACAACCAUUUUGGUACAACUUUUGUACAACUUUCUCUCUCAUACUCACAUUAUGUUUUUAUUCUCUCUCUUACUUUUUUUCUCUCCAUUGUGGUUGACCAAUAAGAAGGGAGAAUAUCAAGGUUGUCACAAAAAUUGUAACAAAAGAGUUGUUCAAAUAUCAUUACUCUUAUCAUUAUGUGUUAAAUAAUUUUGUGUAAUAAGCUUCAAUGACAAUGUAAAUAUACAAUAAAAGAUAUAAAUUAUUCAUAAAAUGAAAAUUUUAUUCAUUUAUCUUUUUAUAUUUUUGUCUCUUUUAGUUUCAGUCAUUUUCAAUUAUGCAUUCUUAAUAUUAUGUCAAUGUUGAUCAAUAAUUAUUGGCAAAAGAAGUUUUCAUGUUAUAGAAUAUGAAAAUCCCUGGUACCAAAAAAAAAAAAAAUCUGAAAAUCCCUCUAUAGGAUUUCAGAUUUUAGAAUCCGACCAAAUGGUAUUUUGAAGAGAGAAAAAUAGUGUGUCUAAGUAACUCAUGUUGAGAAAAGUAAUAGCCUUAAUUAUGUCUCCGAUAAACAUUUUAUUCCCUUCCGUUAAUCAGUUAAUCCCAAAUGUCUAAGGUGAACCAAUAUUAUAGGUGGUCUACCAUAAACCUCAUAACAAUUUUAAGGUCAAAUACCACUUUUGGUCAUUUUAGUUUGACAGAAUUCUCAAGUUAGUCAUUUAAGUUUCGAAAGUUUCAAUUAGGUCCUUUUAGUUUGACAGAAUUCCCAAGUUAAUCCUUUAAGUCAUAAAAUUCAGGGGAGCAAAGUAGAUACUCCAGUUUUCAGAGGCGGAGACAUAGUCAUGUCAAAAGCAUCCCACAUCCUAUUACCACCUACUUGAACUCAUCAAGCUUGGUAUGGACCAUUCACAGUAACAUGUGUAUGUAGUCUCGUGGAGAUCUGGGACAAUAUCAAAUGGCAUGCUAAGGUGAAUCGACACAAACUGAAGCAUGUUAAAGAUUGCAUCCGGAAAAUGAAAGUUGAAGAAGAUGAACCUGCUUUGAAGAGGUUCAAGGGCACAACAUAGACUUAUUCUCCAUGUUCAAGAUGUAAAACACGCAUUGAACGAGAGACAACCCAUUAAUUUAUUUUCUCCGUUAUUUGUCUUGUGUCAUUUUUGCUCGAAUUUUUUGCCGUCAAUUCUUUAUGAAUUAUCAGUCAUAUUAUAUUACACACUAGACAAUUUUUUUGGUACCUUGAGCCUUUUCAAUCCGCCCUUAUCAUCAUUAUAUCCUUUGCUAAAUCCCUUUGAGCUUCCAUGCAUUAUUUCUUUUGUUUUUUUUAUUAAGUAACAAAUCAUGUCACAAGUUUGAACUUUUAAUGCCAUCUAUUUGAUUUCUUUUAUAGUUAGAUAGAAUAUUUUUAAGAACUUGGUAUGAUUUGAAUAUAUGUUAGGGUUAUAAGGGAGAAAUGUAAUGGCAAAGAGGAAGAGCAAGAAAAGAGAUGAAAGAUGAAGGGACAUUAGGCAGACUCAAUCACGGUAGUUAGAAUGAUUGCCUUCUGUUUUGCAGUAAUUUGCAUGAGCUUCACUUUUCAAGUAGAGUAAAAAAAACAGGAAUAGAUAGACACAUUUCUUCUAAGUUUGAGUAGUGAGUGAUAACACUUCUAUGUAAUCCCUAAAAAAAAACACUUCUAUGUAAAAAAAUCACAUGGGAAAUCCAUUCCUAUAGUACACGUAAUUUUGAUCUGGAAGGUUGACUUUUCAACAAAAUAACCUAAAAUAAUUUGUUCAUAACAUAAUAGAGGAAUCUAGAAGUGUUCGCGGUGCGGUUUGAUUCGGUUUUGAGCAAAAAAGUCAUCCAAACCGCGCGAUAAAAAAACAUGUGGUUUGGUUCGGUUGAUUUUUAAAAAAUCAUCCAAACCAAACCAAACUAAACCAAUACGGUUUGGAUUGGUUCGGUUUGUGCGGUUUAUCGCGAGAUAAAAAAAAAAUAUUACAUUAACUCUAAUAUUUCCAAAUUGUUACAAAAUAAACAUAGAACGUUUUUUUAUUUAUUUUUAUAUGAUAAAAUAUUAGGUAAAACUCAUAUCAAAAUAGGUAAAAUUAAGAAGAAUUUAUAAGCAUGAAACAAAUUAUUGGAAAGUAAAGGAAACAAAUUUAAGUAAUAUUCAUUAUUCUUGCAGCUAUGUAAUUGGGCUAGAAACAUUUUAUUUUGAUGUUUAUAUCGAACAUGAUGGUGCAACAAUGGAAAAAUCAAAUCAAAAAAGAUUAUUCUUGAGCUAUGUAAUUGAGCUAGUACAUAUUUAAGUAAUAUUCAUUAUUCUUGCGGUUUGGUUUGGUUUGAUUCGGUUGCUGAGAUGCAAACCGCAAAUCAAACCAAACUGUAUGUUUUAGUGCAAAAGUCAUCUGAAUUCAUCCGAAAUCAAGUACGAUUUUUUACGAUUUUGAAUUGGUUUAAUUUGCCGUUUUUCUAUUGGAUUGGUUCGGUUUGAACGAUCUGCAUGAAUUCUUCUAGUUGAUUGUUGGACUAUUUUUAAUUGGCAAAGGCUUAGUUGUCCAUUUAUAAAUAUAAAUACUAUUAUUACAUUAUCCAAUCCAAUAGCACCAAAACCAAUAUAAUAAUGGUAAUUUGCAAUUUUGCACGUUUCAUUCAUUUAUUGGUGCCUUAAUUUUGGGUUACAGACCGACAUUGAUCAGUUGCUAAAAAACCACUGCAUCCUUAUUUUUUACGAGGUAGAUGCAUCGGACAAAUAAACCGACAAACAAAGCUAUUCAGAAAGUGCUCAGAAAUUUUUUGUGCCCCAACAGAAAAUAUUAAGAAAGUCUUGCUACACAGUGUCUUGUAUACAAGUGAAAUAUGUGUGGUAUUAUGCACAAGUUUAUUUUUACAAGUUGAUAUAAGAAUCUAAGUAUAUUUUUAUGGAAAAUUAAUGCUAACAAAUACUUUCAAAGCAUUGUUUAAGCAAUCAAUAUUAGUAACUUUUGCAUAGAAAUAUGUGUGAUUAUUAUUUUUUCAUAUGUUUUAUAUGUUUUCAAGAAAAUAUUUUUAUUUAUGGUUUUUUUAAAUAGUGUCCUUAGGUACUUGUUAGCAAAAUCUUAUUUAUAUAAGUUGAUCUAAGAAUCUCAUUAUUGUAUCGAGUGAGAUACGGCCAUACCGAAGCUUAUGGAUUCCAUAGUGGAAAAAUAACUUUUCAUCAGUGCAAUACUAUUUUAGUUGUAGAAUUUCUUUUCUUGUGUGUCCUAUUUCAGAUUUUAAAAUCCAAACAAUCGAAGGUUUAUGAAGGUUUUUCGAACAUUUUCGCACUGUUUGAAUUAUAUGAUCUGAAAUGUCAUAGAACAUGCGAGAAGCAAGUUGAAUGAAAUAAAAAACUCCUGCUCAAUAGAAUUAUUUUACUUGGUUAUUGUUUGAAUUUUAUUCUCCUUCAAAGACGGCAAUGUGCAAUUGUGCAUUUCAUCCGGAGAGUGGCAACAUCUCAUGCAUGUUCAUCUCAUAUAACUGAGAAGUCACAUGGCUUGGAAAAUCUUAAACCGAGAAAAACAAAAGGAGUAAAAGUAAUAAUAGUGAACCAAAGUGAAGAUGAACUUGUAGUCUAUCAAAAGAAGAUGAACUUGUUCGUCUUGGCAUAGUAACUCAUUUUUAUUCCUUGUUACCUAUGAAACACGGACAAUAGAUACAACACGGACACCAAUACGUUAAUACCGUUAAUAAUAUAAAAAAAUAGGUACAUUGAAUAAUUAAUGUAUUUGACCUAUAAAUGUGACCAGAUAUAUUAAUUAUUCAAUGUAUCUAAAAAGUUGGUUUUUGUUUAUAAAUAUGAUCAUAUGGAGUACUACUUUAGUGUAAUUUUAUGUAUUGGUACUGCGAGACAUCUAAUCUAAAGAGUGUCAAUGUUUUCACACAUAUUACUCACCAAAGUGCACACAUUAUAUGCAUUUAGGUAAACUGAGUUCAUCCAAAAUUGUAACCGCACAAACAGAGGGCCGCUAGGAAAUAUGAGGUAAAUUUGGAUUAUUCUUUAUCAAAAGCUUAUGACCAAAGAAAAACUAUACAAAAACUAAUGUUCAAAAAGUACAUAAAGUAAUAAUGCAAAGUCAAUGUGUAUAUAUAUUUCACCAUUAAAUAAAAGGGGAAAAAAAUCUCCAUACACAGCUUGCAAUAGCUACCAUCAUGGCCUAAAGCAAAUAUCAUAUGACCACUAAAAAACAAUAGAAAAUAAACAAAUAAAAAGAGAAAAACAAAAGAGAAAAUGGUAUAAAGAAAUCAUGUAGUAGUUAGUUUUUUCUCAAGAUGGGCAACUCAGCAGGGCUGCUAGGAGGAAAUUACAAAAGAACAUGACACUUAACUUCUCUAAUCAUUCAAAAUUUGUCAAGAUGCUGAUUAUAUAUUUUAAUUAGUAGUUAGAGAUUGUUAUAGUAACGUGUUCUAGCCAUCAAGAAUAAAACAAUGUCAUGGAAAAGAAGUGGCCUACUAGAAGAAUUAAUUUAAAGCAUUUACACCAAAAUAAAAACAAAUUGAAUAUUGGAAUUGGUCCUUCAUGAUAGCUUCCCCUUAACAACUAACUCUAACUAUAAAUACUGAAUCUUGCAUGCAACAUUUCAUAGUAAACACUAAGACCAAAACCUCUUCUUUCUAUCCAUGACUGCUAGGGCUAGUUGCCCCAAAAUGGGGCAUUUUUGGCCACAAAUGGCAAUGGCAUUGGCCAUUGUUUUGAUUUCUACUACUAUGGUUUCUGCUUCUGAUAGCUACAUUUACUCUUCGCCUCCACCACCUUAUGAGUACAAGUCCCCACCACCGCCGUCUCCCUCACCACCUCCUCCUUAUGUGUAUAAGUCACCACCUCCCCCAUCCUCGUCACCCCCACCACCAUAUGAGCACAAGGCUCCAUCUUAUGAGUACAAGUCACCACCACCACCAACUUCUUCACCACCACCUCCUUAUGUAUACAAGUCACCACCACCACCAUCUCCUUCACCGUCACCUCCUUAUGUGUACAAGUCACCACCACCUCCAUCCCCAUCACCCCCACCUCCUUACGUGUACAAGUCACCACCACCACCCUCGCCUUCCCCGCCCCCACCAUACUAUUACAAGUCUCCUCCACCACCCUCGCCUUCCCCACCGCCACCAUACUAUUACAAGAGUCCUCCACCACCCUCUCCUUCACCUCCACCUCCUUACUACUAUAAAUCGCCUCCACCACCCUCACCUUCCCCUCCCCCACCAUACUAUUACAAGUCUCCUCCACCACCAUCUCCCUCACCACCUCCUCCAUAUUACUACAAGUCUCCCACACCACCUUCACCCUCCUCUCCACCCCCAUAUAUACACAAGGAUCCACCAUACUAUUACAAGUCCCCACCACCCCCUUCACCAUCUCCUCCACCACCAUACUACUAUAAAUCUCCCCCACCACCCUCACCCUCUCCACCCCCACCUUACUAUUACAAGUCUCCUCCACCACCUUCACCAUCUCCUCCACCACCAUACUAUUACAAAUCUCCUCCUCCUCCAUCUCCUAUUCCCCAUACACCUUACUAUUACAAAUCUCCCCCACCACCUUCACCAUCUCCUCCACCACCAUACUAUUACAAAUCUCCUCCUCCUCCAUCUCCUAUUCCCCGUACACCUUACUAUUACAAAUCUCCCCCACCACCUUCACCAUCUCCUCCACCACCAUACUACUACAAAUCCCCUCCUCAUCCAUCUCCCAUUCCCCAUACACCUUACUAUUACACAUCUCCCCCACCACCUUCACCGUCUCCUCCACCACCAUAUUACUACAAAUCUCCUCCCCCUCCGUCUCCUAUUCCCCACACACCUUACUACUACAAGUCCCCACCACCACCAAAGGUCCUUCCACCACCAUACUAUUACAAUUCUCCUCCUCCACCUGUUGUGUAUCCUCACCCAUAUCCCUACCACCACUCACUUAUUGUGAGGGUAGUCGGUAAAGUCUACAGCUUCAGAUGUUAUGAUUGGAAUUAUCCUGCAAAGUCUCAUAACAAG
RNAcentral lists this long non-coding RNA (23945 nucleotides) under Medicago truncatula (barrel medic). RNAcentral describes it as "long non-coding RNA (MTRU_LNC000785)". Lineage: Eukaryota; Viridiplantae; Streptophyta; Magnoliopsida; Fabales; Fabaceae. The record is from RNAcentral.